This is a non-coding RNA of Ictidomys tridecemlineatus (thirteen-lined ground squirrel), 115 nucleotides long. The record is from Rfam. Lineage: Eukaryota; Metazoa; Chordata; Mammalia; Rodentia; Sciuridae.
UUCUUUUGUUGGUUCGUAAGUGUGAUGAUUGGGUUUUCACACAUAAAUGUCAUGAUUGUGUAAGAGAUGAUUUCCUCAAAACAUGUUUUGCCAUUGACUCAUUACUUGUUUGAUC